GGUACCGUCAAAUGUAAUGGGUAUUUGCCAUUACACAUUUCUUCCCUAUUGACAGAGCUUUACAACCCUAAGGCCUUCAUCACUCACGCGGCGUCGCUGCAUCAGGGUUUCCCCCAUUGUGCAAAAUUCCUCA
This 133-nucleotide ribosomal RNA is filed under the name uncultured bacterium. Its description in RNAcentral is "partial 16S ribosomal RNA". The record is from RNAcentral.